Molecule: unclassified non-coding RNA, 221 nt
Filed under: uncultured fungus
Lineage: Eukaryota; Fungi
Description: sequence contains ITS1
Source: RNAcentral
GUAUUGAUUGCGUGUGACCGCAAAAAUAACAUUCUACACUGUAUCAAGUUUUGUGUGAAAACGUGGGCCCCCCCUUCCAGGGGAACUCACGCGGUUGUGCACAAAGGGGUGAGAUGGAUGUGUGAGAGUGCUCGGGCGUGCACGACCUUUAAAAAGGUCAGCGACAGCCCGGGCACCUCCGUUGUAUGAUAAUGAUCCUUCCGCAGGUUCACCUACGGAAA